GACGAAGGAUGCAAGCGUUAUCCGGAUUCAUUGGGGUUAAAGGGUGCGUAGGCGGACCAGUAAGUCAGUGGUGAAAUCUCUUUGCUUAACAAAGAAACUGCCAUUGAUACUGCUAGUCUAGAGUAUAGAUGACGUUGGCGGAAUAUGACAUGUAGUGGUGAAAUACUUAGAUAUGUCAUAGAACACCGAUUGCGAAGGCAGCUAACGAAACUAUAACUGACGCUGAGGCACGAAAGUGCGGGGAUCAAACAGG
This 253-nucleotide ribosomal RNA is filed under the name uncultured bacterium. RNAcentral describes it as "partial 16S ribosomal RNA". It matches the Rfam family "Bacterial small subunit ribosomal RNA", at positions 524 to 776 of the family's 1533-position model. The record is from RNAcentral.